AUGCAGACCGUGAUGUGCUCCAAGCUGCAUGAUUCAAUGGGAAGGAAGCACACCACUAUAGGAGGUCAUCAAGAAAGUAAGAUAAAACAGCACUCUGAAAGGAACAGCAGCAGGACAUCACUGAAAAUAUUAUCAAAGAAAGAAAACGGUUUUCUUAAAGGGCAGCACUCUCCAUGGCAGAGCUGCUCCUUUUCAUUUGCUUUUUUACAAGCUUCACAUAUCUGUGUACCUCUGGUAAUUGAAGGUAACAUACAUGGUGUUUUCUCCCUGUGAAAGUACUUAGAAACUACUUGAAUGACCACUACUGGUGACUGUGGUAGGGAAAAAAAGCAGCUUGGCCUCUCACCAUCAGGAGUUAUUUUGCUGUAUUCACCACAAAACGGACCUAAUUGCCACCAAUGUAUUUGAUCUGGUAAUGUUUAAAUCUUCUAGCUUUCUCUAAGCCCAUUCAGCCAAGCAUUUCCCCUGAGGUCUUUAACUUCCUUUAUCCAAUGUCUAUAUCCUGUAAAUUUGACCUUGAUAGUGAUUUAUCACCUAUUUCCUUCUUGCUAUUAUUUUAUUAAGUACUGGUCUUUGCUUUGUCUUGAAUCAGGAUGCUCUGUCAGCUGUAGUUCUCGUCUUGAUAACGGAAUUGUUAUCUGAUGGUUCUUACUCUUUAACAACUGUAUUAUUUUUAAAGAAUGUCAGAUUUGG
Molecule: long non-coding RNA, 693 nt
Filed under: Struthio camelus australis
Lineage: Eukaryota; Metazoa; Chordata; Aves; Struthioniformes; Struthionidae
Description: lncRNA (ENSSCUG00000007241.1)
Source: RNAcentral